UAAGUAAGCUUUGAUCCAGAGAUUUCCGAAUGGGGAAACCCAGCAUGAGUUAUGUCAUGUUAUCGAUAUGUGAAUACAUAGCAUAUCAGAAGGCACACCCGGAGAACUGAAACAUCUUAGUACCCGGAGGAAGAGAAAGAAAAUUCGAUUCCCUUAGUAGCGGCGAGCGAAACGGGAAGAGCCCAAACCAACAAGCUUGCUUGUUGGGGUUGUAGGACACUCUAUACGGAGUUACAAAGGACGACAUUAGACGAAUCAUCUGGAAAGAUGAAUCAAAGAAGGUAAUAAUCCUGUAGUCGAAAAUGUUGUCUCUCUUGAGUGGAUCCUGAGUACGACGGAGCACGUGAAAUUCCGUCGGAAUCUGGGAGGACCAUCUCCUAAGGCUAAAUACUCUCUAGUGACCGAUAGUGAACCAGUACCGUGAGGGAAAGGUGAAAAGCACCCCGGAAGGGGAGUGAAAUAGAACCUGAAACCGUGUGCUUACAAGUAGUCAGAGCCCGUUAAUGGGUGAUGGCGUGCCUUUUGUAGAAUGAACCGGCGAGUUACGAUUUGAUGCAAGGUUAAGCAGUAAAUGUGGAGCCGUAGCGAAAGCGAGUCUGAAUAGGGCGUUUAGUAUUUGGUCGUAGACCCGAAACCAGGUGAUCUACCCUUGGUCAGGUUGAAGUUCAGGUAACACUGAAUGGAGGACCGAACCGACUUACGUUGAAAAGUGAGCGGAUGAACUGAGGGUAGCGGAGAAAUUCCAAUCGAACCUGGAGAUAGCUGGUUCUCUCCGAAAUAGCUUUAGGGCUAGCCUCAAGUGAUGAUUAUUGGAGGUAGAGCACUGUUUGGACGAGGGGCCCCUCUCGGGUUACCGAAUUCAGACAAACUCCGAAUGCCAAUUAAUUUAACUUGGGAGUCAGAACAUGGGUGAUAAGGUCCGUGUUCGAAAGGGAAACAGCCCAGACCACCAGCUAAGGUCCCAAAAUAUAUGUUAAGUGGAAAAGGAUGUGGCGUUGCCCAGACAACUAGGAUGUUGGCUUAGAAGCAGCCAUCAUUUAAAGAGUGCGUAAUAGCUCACUAGUCGAGUGACACUGCGCCGAAAAUGUACCGGGGCUAAACAUAUUACCGAAGCUGUGGAUUGUCCUUUGGACAAUGGUAGGAGAGCGUUCUAAGGGCGUUGAAGCAUGAUCGCAAGGACAUGUGGAGCGCUUAGAAGUGAGAAUGCCGGUGUGAGUAGCGAAAGACGGGUGAGAAUCCCGUCCACCGAUUGACUAAGGUUUCCAGAGGAAGGCUCGUCCGCUCUGGGUUAGUCGGGUCCUAAGCUGAGGCCGACAGGCGUAGGCGAUGGAUAACAGGUUGAUAUUCCUGUACCACCUAUAAUCGUUUUAAUCGAUGGGGGGACGCAGUAGGAUAGGCGAAGCGUGCGAUUGGAUUGCACGUCUAAGCAGUAAGGCUGAGUAUUAGGCAAAUCCGGUACUCGUUAAGGCUGAGCUGUGAUGGGGAGAAGACAUUGUGUCUUCGAGUCGUUGAUUUCACACUGCCGAGAAAAGCCUCUAGAUAGAAAAUAGGUGCCCGUACCGCAAACCGACACAGGUAGUCAAGAUGAGAAUUCUAAGGUGAGCGAGCGAACUCUCGUUAAGGAACUCGGCAAAAUGACCCCGUAACUUCGGGAGAAGGGGUGCUCUUUAGGGUUAACGCCCAGAAGAGCCGCAGUGAAUAGGCCCAAGCGACUGUUUAUCAAAAACACAGGUCUCUGCUAAACCGUAAGGUGAUGUAUAGGGGCUGACGCCUGCCCGGUGCUGGAAGGUUAAGAGGAGUGGUUAGCUUCUGCGAAGCUACGAAUCGAAGCCCCAGUAAACGGCGGCCGUAACUAUAACGGUCCUAAGGUAGCGAAAUUCCUUGUCGGGUAAGUUCCGACCCGCACGAAAGGCGUAACGAUUUGGGCACUGUCUCAACGAGAGACUCGGUGAAAUCAUAGUACCUGUGAAGAUGCAGGUUACCCGCGACAGGACGGAAAGACCCCGUGGAGCUUUACUGUAGCCUGAUAUUGAAAUUCGGCACAGCUUGUACAGGAUAGGUAGGAGCCUUUGAAACGUGAGCGCUAGCUUACGUGGAGGCGCUGGUGGGAUACUACCCUAGCUGUGUUGGCUUUCUAACCCGCACCACUUAUCGUGGUGGGAGACAGUGUCAGGCGGGCAGUUUGACUGGGGCGGUCGCCUCCUAAAAGGUAACGGAGGCGCUCAAAGGUUCCCU
Molecule: ribosomal RNA, 2235 nt
Filed under: Staphylococcus aureus
Lineage: Bacteria; Bacillati; Bacillota; Bacilli; Caryophanales; Staphylococcaceae
Description: partial 23S ribosomal RNA
Rfam family: Bacterial large subunit ribosomal RNA
Source: RNAcentral